Molecule: ribosomal RNA, 938 nt
Filed under: uncultured bacterium
Lineage: Bacteria
Description: bacterial SSU rRNA
Rfam family: Bacterial small subunit ribosomal RNA
Source: RNAcentral
AACGUACGCUGGCGGCACGCCUAACACAUGCAAGUCGAACGCAGUAGCAAUACUGAGUGGCAGACGGGUGAGUAACAUGUGGGAAUCUGCCUUGUGGUUCAGGACAACAUUGGGAAACCGAUGCUAAUACUGGAUAAGCCCUUACGGGGAAAGUUUUAAUGCCAUAAGAUGAGCCCGCAUUUGAUUAGUUAGUUGGUGAGGUAAUGGCUCACCAAGACAAUGAUCAAUAGCUGAUCUGAGAGGAUGAUCAGCCACACUGGGACUGAGACACGGCCCAGACUCCUACGGGAGGCAGCAGUGGGGAAUCUUGCACAAUGGAGGAAACUCUGAUGCAGCGAUGCCGCGUGAGUGAAGAAGGCCUUUGGGUUGUAAAGCUCUUUUGUAGGGGAAGAUAAUGACUGUACCCUAAGAAUAAGGUCCGGCUAACUUCGUGCCAGCAGCCGCGGUAAUACGAAGGGACCUAGCGUAGUUCGGAAUUACUGGGCGUAAAGCGCGCGUAGGCCGUUGAGUUAGUUAAUUGUGAAAUCCCAAAGCUUAACUUUGGAACUGCAAUUAAAACUGCUCGACUAGAGUUUGAUAGAGGAAAGCGGAAUACAUAGUGUAGAGGUGAAAUUCGUAGAUAUUAUGUAGAACACCAGUUGCGAAGGCGGCUUUCUGGAUCAACACUGACGCUGAGGCGCGAAAGUAUGGGUAGCAAAGAGGAUUAGAUACCCUCGUAGUCCAUACCAUAAACGAUGAUUGCUAGAUGUUGGAAAUUUAUUUUCAGUAUCGCAGCUAACGCAUUAAGCAAUCCGCCUGGGGAGUACGACCGCAAGGUUAAAACUCAAAUGAAUUGACGGGGACCCGCACAAGCGGUGGAGCAUGUGGUUUAAUUCGAAGAUACGCGCAGAACCUUACCAACCCUUGACAUGUCUGUCGCGAGUUUAGGAAACUAGACU